UGAGGAAUAUUGGUCAAUGGACGCAAGUCUGAACCAGCCAAGUAGCGUGCAGGAUGACGGCCCUAUGGGUUGUAAACUGCUUUUAUAUGGGGAUAAAGUGGGGAACGUGUUCCCUUUUGCAGGUACCAUACGAAUAAGGACCGGCUAAUUCCGUGCCAGCAGCCGCGGUAAUACGGAAGGUCCAGGCGUUAUCCGGAUUUAUUGGGUUUAAAGGGAGCGUAGGCUGUUUGUUAAGCGUGUUGUGAAAUGUAAGAGCUCAACUUUUAGAUUGCAGCGCGAACUGGCAGACUUGAGUGCGCACAACGUAGGCGGAAUUCAUGGUGUAGCGGUGAAAUGCUUAGAUAUCAUGACGAACUCCGAUUGCGAAGGCAGCUUACAGGAGCGCAACUGACGCUAAAGCUCGAAGGUGCGGGUAUCGAACAGG
RNAcentral lists this ribosomal RNA (424 nucleotides) under Verrucomicrobiota bacterium. RNAcentral describes it as "Verrucomicrobia bacterium partial 16S ribosomal RNA". It matches the Rfam family "Bacterial small subunit ribosomal RNA", at positions 355 to 776 of the family's 1533-position model. The record is from RNAcentral. Lineage: Bacteria; Pseudomonadati; Verrucomicrobiota.